GACGAACGCUGGCGGCGUGCUUAACACAUGCAAGUCGAACGAUGAAGCUGGAGCUUGCUCCGGUGGAUUAGUGGCGAACGGGUGAGUAACACGUGUGCAAUCUGCCCUUCACUCUGGGAUAACUGCGGGAAACUGUAGCUAAUACCGGAUACGAGACCUUGGGGCAUCCCAGGGUCUGGAAAGAAUUUCGGUGAAGGAUGAGCUCGCGGCCUAUCAGCUAGUUGGUGAGGUAAUGGCUCACCAAGGCGACGACGGGUAGCCGGCCUGAGAGGGUGACCGGCCACACUGGGACUGAGACACGGCCCAGACUCCUACGGGAGGCAGCAGUGGGGAAUAUUGCACAAUGGGCGAAAGCCUGAUGCAGCAACGCCGCGUGAGGGAUGAAGGCCUUCGGGUUGUAAACCUCUUUUAGUAGGGAAGAAGCGCAAGUGGCGGUACCUACAGAAAAAGCACCGGCUAACUACGUGCCAGCAGCCGCCGCGG
RNAcentral lists this ribosomal RNA (483 nucleotides) under uncultured bacterium. Its description in RNAcentral is "partial 16S ribosomal RNA". It matches the Rfam family "Bacterial small subunit ribosomal RNA", at positions 28 to 523 of the family's 1533-position model. The record is from RNAcentral.